RNAcentral lists this ribosomal RNA (253 nucleotides) under uncultured bacterium. RNAcentral's name for it is "partial 16S ribosomal RNA". It matches the Rfam family "Bacterial small subunit ribosomal RNA", at positions 524 to 776 of the family's 1533-position model. The record is from RNAcentral.
UACGUAGGUGGCAAGCGUUGUCCGGAUUUACUGGGCGUAAAGGGAGCGUAGGCGGACUUUUAAGUGAGAUGUGAAAUACCCGGGCUCAACCUGGGUGCUGCAUUUCAAACUGGAAGUCUAGAGUGCAGGAGAGGAGAAUGGAAUACCUAGUGUAGCGGUGAAAUGCGUAGAGAUUAGGAAGAACACCAGUGGCGAAGGCGAUUCUCUGGACUGUAACUGACGCUGAGGCUCGAAAGCGUGGGGAGCAAACAGG